UACGUAGGUGGCAAGCGUUGUCCGGAAUUAUUGGGCGUAAAGAGCGUGUAGGCGGCCCGGUAAGUCCGCUGUGAAAGUCGGGGGCUCAACCCUCGAAUGCCGGUGGAUACUGUCGGGCUAGAGUGCGGAAGAGGCGAGUGGAAUUCCUGGUGUAGCGGUGAAAUGCGCAGAUAUCAGGAGGAACACCAAUUGCGAAGGCAGCUCGCUGGGACGUAACUGACGCUGAGACGCGAAAGCGUGGGGAGCAAACAGG
RNAcentral lists this ribosomal RNA (253 nucleotides) under uncultured bacterium. RNAcentral's name for it is "partial 16S ribosomal RNA". It matches the Rfam family "Bacterial small subunit ribosomal RNA", at positions 524 to 776 of the family's 1533-position model. The record is from RNAcentral.